This 252-nucleotide ribosomal RNA is filed under the name uncultured bacterium. Its description in RNAcentral is "partial 16S ribosomal RNA". It matches the Rfam family "Bacterial small subunit ribosomal RNA", at positions 524 to 776 of the family's 1533-position model. The record is from RNAcentral.
UACGUAGGGGGCAAGCGUUGUCCGGAAUUAUUGGGCGUAAAGCGCGCGCAGGCGGUUAUUUAAGUCUUAUGUUUAAACCUGGGGCUCAACCUCGGGACGCAUGGGAAACUGGGUAACUUGAGUGUAGGAGAGGAAAGUGGAAUUCCACGUGUAGCGGUGAAAUGCGUAGAGAUCCGGAGGAACACCGGUGGCGAAGGCGACCUGCUGGGCCGACCCUGACGCUGAGGCGCGAAAGCGUGGGGAGCGAACCGG